This is a long non-coding RNA of Cucumis sativus (cucumber), 893 nucleotides long. RefSeq lists it as uncharacterized. Lineage: Eukaryota; Viridiplantae; Streptophyta; Magnoliopsida; Cucurbitales; Cucurbitaceae. The transcript is spliced from 5 exons. The record is from RefSeq and is a predicted model, not a curated record.
UUCCAACGGUAACUCUCUCUACUUCCUCUCAUUUCUCCCCUUCUCUUUCGCUCUCUGUGAGUUGCCGAUCCACGCCAUCGUCUUCUCCUAGCCCUAACGGCGCCGGAAUCAAGAGCGGCAGACCCCUCGGAAACCCAAUUCGUCUUCCAAAGUCCUUUUGUUCCACCGUCACCGUCAGAUCCCGACUCCAUGGUUCUUGAUUCCAAACCCUCGCCCCUCUCCCUUCUUCCAACGGUAACUCUCUCUACUUCCUCUCCCCUUCUCUUUCGCUCUCUGUGAGUUGCCCAUCUUGCCGAUCCACGCCAUCGUCUUCUCCUAGCCCUAACGGCGCCGGAAUCAAGAGCGGCAGACCCUCGGAAACCCAAUUCGUCUUCCAAAGUCCUUUUGUUCCACCGUCACCGUCAGAUCCCGACUCCAUGGUUCUUGAUUCCAAACCCUCGCCGGCUAAGUUGAAGAGCCCGCUUCCACCUAGGUCUCCCUCUUCUAACCCACUUAAGCGGAAGGUAUGAAGACCGUUCCUGAGAAUUCCAUCUUUGGAUUGUCUUAUUCGGGUGGUAGUGCGCUUGCUGCCGCCAUCCAAGGACGGAGAUGAAGGGGAUAAUAUAAUACAGAAGGUUAUGUGUCGAUGAAGUUAGCGGACAGUGGGCAGAUGCAGAUGAAUUCUUUAAUGAGGAACAGGCUAUGUGAAAGAGACCAGGCUAUUCGCAAACUGGAAAGGGAAAUAGAAGAUAAAGAUAGGGAAUUGCAAUCAAUUAAAUUAGACAACGACGCAGCUUGGGCCAAGGAUGAUCUUCUGCGGGAACAAGAUAAGGAAAUAGCAACUUAAAGGAACAAGGAUAAUUAAUCAAUGAAAAAGAAAUGAAGAGGUUUAUCCAUGCAAGCUUCAAACCAAA